GUAUAUAAGAAUGAAGUCAGUGCUGCAUUUAUUGAUUUUUUCUUUUCCCACUUUUAUCAUACAUCAGAACUCUGUUCGUUCCACCAAAUUCAGAAGAUUCUAAUAAAAUCUCCUGCUAGCUUUUGAAAACUGGUCCAAAACAUAACAGUUAUAUGAAUUUUAACAAGACCAAAUGACUUAAUGCAGCACUGACUUCAUUCUUAUAUAC
RNAcentral lists this unclassified non-coding RNA (208 nucleotides) under Hevea brasiliensis (rubber tree). The record is from RNAcentral. Lineage: Eukaryota; Viridiplantae; Streptophyta; Magnoliopsida; Malpighiales; Euphorbiaceae.